UACGGAAGGCAGCAGUGGGGAAUAUUGCACAAUGGGCGAAAGCCUGAUGCAGCUAUGCCGCGUGUAUGAAGAAGGCCUUUAGGGGUUGUAAAGUACUUUUCAUCGGGGAGGAAAAAACAAAACUAAUAAUUUUAUUUCUUGACGUUACCCGAAAAAGAAGCACCGGCUAACUCCGUGCCAGCAGCUGCGGUAAUACGGAGGGUGCUAGCGUUAAUCAGAAUUACUGGGCGUAAAGAGCACGUAGGUGGUUUUUUUUAAAGUUCAGAUGUGAAAUCCCUGGGCUUAACCUAGGAACUGCAUUUUGAAACUGAAAUACUAGAGUAUCGUAGAGGGAGGUAGAAUUCUAGGUGUAGCGGUGAAAUGCGUAGAUAUCUGGAGGAAUACCUGUGGCGAAAGCGGCCUCCUAAACGAAUACUGACACUGAGGUGCGAAAGCGUGGGGAGCAAACAGGGAUUAGAUACC
This 462-nucleotide ribosomal RNA is filed under the name uncultured bacterium. RNAcentral's name for it is "bacterial SSU rRNA". It matches the Rfam family "Bacterial small subunit ribosomal RNA", at positions 340 to 786 of the family's 1533-position model. The record is from RNAcentral.